This 317-nucleotide long non-coding RNA is filed under the name Arachis ipaensis. Its description in RNAcentral is "long non-coding RNA (AIPA_LNC001877)". Lineage: Eukaryota; Viridiplantae; Streptophyta; Magnoliopsida; Fabales; Fabaceae. The record is from RNAcentral.
GAUCUUCCACUUCACUUAAUCAUUGUCAAUCUAUUUCAAUCCCCGGCAACGGCGCCAAAAACUUGAUGUGUGGAAAACGAUCCAACACGAAACUCACCGGCAAGUGCACCGGGUCGCAUCAAGUAAUAAAACUCACGGGAGUGAGGUCGAUCCCACAAGGAUUGAAGGAUUGAACAAUUUUAGUUUAGUGGAUGACUUAGUCUAGCGAAUCAAGAGUUGAUUUGAGUUGUUUGUAUUCGACAGAAGCUAAAUUGCAUGAAAUAAAAAGGGAGAGGGACAAUUGGCAAGAAAUUAAAGUGCAGAGAAAUUAAAGAGGC